Molecule: long non-coding RNA, 146 nt
Organism: Ipomoea nil (Japanese morning glory)
Lineage: Eukaryota; Viridiplantae; Streptophyta; Magnoliopsida; Solanales; Convolvulaceae
Exons: 3
Source: RefSeq, a predicted model, not a curated record
AUCUAAAAAUAUAAUAAGUCUCAAUCAAGGUUAUACCAUUGAUUUAUGUCCAUCUUUUUGUAUGCUAAUAAAUGUAUACAUUUUACUUUAAAUGUUGUACACUUCAAUGUUAUUAGACAAAAUUAUAAAAACUUAAUAAGUUUAAA